This 501-nucleotide ribosomal RNA is filed under the name uncultured bacterium. Its description in RNAcentral is "partial 16S ribosomal RNA". It matches the Rfam family "Bacterial small subunit ribosomal RNA", at positions 899 to 1397 of the family's 1533-position model. The record is from RNAcentral.
ACUCAAAUGAAUUGACGGGGACCCGCACAAGCGGUGGAGCAUGUGGUUUAAUUCGAUGCAACGCGAAGAACCUUACCACUCCUUGACAUCCUGAUUAAGACUAGCGGAAACGUUAGAGUCGGUUCGGCCGGAUCAGUGACAGGUGUUGCAUGGCUGUCGUCAGCUCGUGUCGUGAGAUGUUGGGUUAAGUCCCGCAACGAGCGCAACCCUCGCCCUUAGUUGCCAGCGGGUCAUGCCGGGGACUCUAAGGGAACUGCCUGCGGUAAGCAGGAGGAAGGCGGGGAUGACGUCAAGUCAUCAUGGCCCUUACGGAGUGGGCUACACACGUGCUACAAUGGCGGUGACAAUGGGUUGCUAGUCCGCGAGGACAUGCUAAUCUCUAAAAGCCGCCUCAGUUCGGAUUGUAGUCUGCAACUCGACUACAUGAAGUCGGAAUCGCUAGUAAUCGUGGAUCAGCAUGCCACGGUGAAUACGUUCCCGGGUCUUGUACACACCGCCCGU